This 83-nucleotide transfer RNA is filed under the name Bacillus phage vB_BanS-Tsamsa. It matches the Rfam family "tRNA". Rfam says of the family: Transfer RNA (tRNA) molecules are approximately 80 nucleotides in length. Their secondary structure includes four short double-helical elements and three loops (D, anti-codon, and T loops). The record is from Rfam by way of RNAcentral. Lineage: Duplodnaviria; Heunggongvirae; Uroviricota; Caudoviricetes.
GGGGUAGCGGUAACGUUGGAGAGUUACGGUGGACUGUAAAUCCACUGCCAUCGGCUUAGUAGGUUCGAAUCCUAUCUGCCCCA